GGCAAACGGGGUUANUAACGGGUAGGUGACGUACCCUCGGGUUGGGGAUAGCCACGGGAAACUGUGGNUAAUACCCAAUAAUCUCUUCACACGUGAUGGUGUGGGGAGCAAAGGUGUGAUUCCACCGGAGGAGCGGCCUGCUUCGUAUUAGCUAGUUGGUGAGGUAACGGCUCACCAAGGCAUCGAUGCGUAGGGGGUGUGAGAGCAUGACCCCCACCACUGGGACUGAGAUACUGCCCAGACACCUACGGGUGGCUGCAGUCGAGAAUCUUCGGCAAUGGGCGCAAGCCUGACCGAGCGACGCCGCGUGUGGGAUGAAGGCCCUUGGGUUGUAAACCACUGUCAGAGGGGAUGAAGUGCCGGAGAGUUAUCUCUCCGGUUUGACAUANCCUCAGAGGAAGCACGGGCUAAGUUCGUGCCANCAGCCGCGGUAAUACGAACUGUGCAAACGUUAUUCGGAAUCACUGGGCUUACAGGGUGCGUAGGCGGCUUGUUAAGUA
RNAcentral lists this ribosomal RNA (500 nucleotides) under uncultured Planctomycetia bacterium. Its description in RNAcentral is "bacterial SSU rRNA". It matches the Rfam family "Bacterial small subunit ribosomal RNA", at positions 97 to 589 of the family's 1533-position model. The record is from RNAcentral. Lineage: Bacteria; Pseudomonadati; Planctomycetota; Planctomycetia.